RNAcentral lists this long non-coding RNA (840 nucleotides) under Glycine max (soybean). RNAcentral describes it as "long non-coding RNA (GMAX_LNC004291)". The record is from RNAcentral. Lineage: Eukaryota; Viridiplantae; Streptophyta; Magnoliopsida; Fabales; Fabaceae.
ACCUGCCAGCAGUGCAAAUGGUGCUCGCACUCAAAAUGCAAGUGCUCCUUCACCACCGGUUGAUAAGCAAAGUCCAGCACCAGCAGCAGCAGCAGCACCUGCACCUGCAGCAGCAGCAGCACCAGCACCUGCACCAGCACCAGCACCAGCACCAGCUGAUAAGCAAAUUCCAGCUGGAAUUCCUGGAAGUCUCAAAAACAAUUACCAUCGCGCUGAUGGGCAAAACUGUGGCAACUUUCUCACUGUACUGCCCUUCUCAACUUAUCUAUUAUGAUUAUUUUAAUUUUAAUUGUAUUAUGUAAUUAGCUCUUGCUAUUUUCUGCAUAUCUGCUCUAAAUAUACUUGUUUGUUUCAACUUACAUUAGCCUAGGAAAUACUAGAAAGCUUAAUAGUAAAGUAGACGAGGAUUGGAGUCUCCUCCUCUUGCUUACCAUUUCCUAGUAAUAGUUCAGUAAAAAGUAAUGAAGUUGCAAAGUUAGUUUUCACAAGGAUCCUAUUUCAGUAAAACAGUGUUUUGAAUUGCAAUAGUGCUACAGAAAGGAAACCAUGUAUAAAUUACUUAGAAUAAUUCAGAUUUCUAUUAGCAUAAAGCUAUAGUGAAAAAUUCAAAACUUUAAUGUAAGAAUAAUUCAGAUUUCUUGGCUCAGCUACUUAAGCAUGGUUCCUUGCUCUGUUGGUAGGAAGGAAACCAUGUAUAAAUUACUUAAGCAGGGAGUAACAGGAAUUCUGUCUCCUGUUCUUGCAUAUCCAUAAGAUAUAAUAUGCACUUUAUGCAUGUUUUCUUUAUUUUCUUGUUUAUCUUGUGUGGAUUCUGAGUACUUUCUUGGGUUUUGUCUGACA